CCUACGGGAGGCAGCAGUGAGGAAUAGUGGUCAAUGGACGGAAGUCUGAACCAGCCAUGCCGCGUGCAGGAUGACGGCUCUAUGAGUUGUAAACUGCGUGUGUACGAGAAUAAUAGAUCUUACGUGUAGGGAUUUGAAUGUAGCGUACGAAUAAGGAUCGGCUAACACCGUGCCAGCAGCCGCGGUAAUACUGAGGAUUCGAGCGUUAUCCGGAUUUAUUGGGUUUAAAGGGUGCGUAGGCUGUUGGAUAAGUUAGAGGUCAAAUGUCUGGGCUUAACCCCGUGCCUGCCUCUGUAACUUUUCGACUAGAGCGCGGAUGCAGCAGGCGGAAUGAGUAGUGUAGCUGUGAUCUGCUUAGCUAUUACUCAGCACACCGAUUGCGCAGGCCGCUUGCUAAUCCGCAUCUGACGCUGAUGCACGAAAGCGUGGGUAGCGAACAGGAUUAGAUACCCUUGUAGUC
This 460-nucleotide ribosomal RNA is filed under the name uncultured bacterium. Its description in RNAcentral is "partial 16S ribosomal RNA". It matches the Rfam family "Bacterial small subunit ribosomal RNA", at positions 338 to 795 of the family's 1533-position model. The record is from RNAcentral.